Molecule: long non-coding RNA, 221 nt
Filed under: Elaeis guineensis (African oil palm)
Lineage: Eukaryota; Viridiplantae; Streptophyta; Magnoliopsida; Arecales; Arecaceae
Description: long non-coding RNA (EGUI_LNC028977)
Source: RNAcentral
CAUGCAACGUUUCUAGCCAAGUUAACUGCCAGAAUAUGUGCUGAAGCAUUCCAAGAGAGUAAAAAAAUUGUUCCCAUAUCUUAAAGACAAAUAGUAUAUUUAUGUUGCAGCUUCCAGUGCUUUUGUUGAGAAAGGACACUGCUAGGUGGGUUGUAGUUUUGUGGCAGAAAGGAACGUGAGUUUGUUCACAUGGGAGCCAUGAAUACAUUAUGAACUGGGGC